CCCGGUCCCAUCCCGAACCCGGAAGCUAAGCCCGCCCGCGCCGAUGGUACUGCACUCGCCAGGGUGUGGGAGAGUAGGUCACCGCCGACA
This 90-nucleotide ribosomal RNA is filed under the name Pseudonocardia bannensis. Lineage: Bacteria; Bacillati; Actinomycetota; Actinomycetes; Pseudonocardiales; Pseudonocardiaceae. The record is from RNAcentral.